RNAcentral lists this transfer RNA (73 nucleotides) under Saimiri boliviensis boliviensis (Bolivian squirrel monkey). Its description in RNAcentral is "tRNA-Ile (TAT) (tRNA-Ile-TAT-1-1)". It matches the Rfam family "tRNA". Rfam says of the family: Transfer RNA (tRNA) molecules are approximately 80 nucleotides in length. The record is from RNAcentral. Lineage: Eukaryota; Metazoa; Chordata; Mammalia; Primates; Cebidae.
GCUCCAGUGGCGCAAUCGGUUAGCGCGCGGUACUUAUAAUGCCGAGGUUGUGAGUUCGAUCCUCACCUGGAGC